GGUCGAGCGAAAGUCGAGCUACUGCUGAGUAGUAGCUAGUAUUUUCAUCAUAACUUUCUCUCCUGAUAUCCGAUUGAGAUGAUUCAAGUUGUUUUGAACAGAUAACUCAAAGGGCUACAAUUAUUCUAGAAAUAGCCUUGUCCAAAUUCCAACUGUUUCUAUGUGUAAAAUGUGUUCCAAGUGAAGACUGAAAAUCCAAAACAUAAUUUGUGCGGCUCUUUGAUAUCUUUUAGACUUCCAAUUGCAUUCCGAUGAUCUUAUGUGAUCUUCUUGGAUAUCUUGGACUCCUUUAACUACUCAAACACUAAUUUACCUCAUCUAUACAAAAUUGCACCUCAAGUCCUUGACUUUUACAAAAAUUUUCAAUUGAGUCCCUGACUUUUACAAACAUAUGAUUAAACCCAUUUUGUUCACAGAAUUGCCAAUAACACAUUUAGACCUAACAAGCUUCUCUCAAGGAAGUUGGGCUUGACUUGUCCCAUGAGCUCACCUCUUGAUAGGAUGAGUCGAAUUGCCUUGCAAGUCACUUGUGACUCAUCUUUUUUAUAGAAAAUUACAAGUUUUAACUAAAAUGUGAGCCACUCACUCAUUUGUGAGAGGCUCGUAUAAGUAAUUUAUUGUUUAGCGAGCUGUGGACUUGAUCUAGCCGAUGAGCGAUUUGCCUACUUAACACCUCUAGUUUAGGGUGAGUCAAACUUGACAUAAAAUAAUGCUGGCUAUAUUGAUUGAUUUGCGACUGAUAUUAUGUCAUAUAAAUAUAGUAUGAAC
This 768-nucleotide long non-coding RNA is filed under the name Olea europaea (common olive). RNAcentral describes it as "long non-coding RNA (OEUR_LNC011394)". The record is from RNAcentral. Lineage: Eukaryota; Viridiplantae; Streptophyta; Magnoliopsida; Lamiales; Oleaceae.